Molecule: long non-coding RNA, 594 nt
Organism: Ornithodoros turicata
Lineage: Eukaryota; Metazoa; Arthropoda; Arachnida; Ixodida; Argasidae
Exons: 4
Source: RefSeq, a predicted model, not a curated record
CGGCAGCUGUGUGAGGAACGCAAGCGUGCCCCGACUGUCAAAAUCGUCAAAGUCAGAGCUGUGCCUCACUCGUGGGCUUUCGCAAUACGAUUUUGAAGGGUCUGGGCGUAUACAGACAAGAAGCGAGCAGUAAACGAAUAUGUUCUCUUCUGUGAAUGCAAGCUAUCUCAACUUGCUCAAGUAUACCUUUAUGACUAUCAAAGGCACUUCCAAAUACAUUCGUCUAUGCAUAACGUAUCUGUGUCAUGUACCCAAGGAGACUGGAAUGGAAGCCGCAAGAAAGUUCCUGCAGCCCAUAUAGGGCUCCCGUGAUGAACAUGGCUGCCCAGGAAAACAUAUCUUUGUGUUGAAGCCGGUCUGUGCAUAUUUUAAUGAAGAUUAUGAGGUCUGCACCUCGUUCCACACUCACAAAGCUGGCCAGACAGCUGUGGAGUGAGGACCCCCAACACCACGCCUCUGCUAUUGGGUCAUCAGUACUACACUUCUCAGGCAUUGUUCUUCCCUUGGACAGUGACAAAACGCUAACCCAAUGGUAAUCAAGCUUAAGUAGCAUGCCUGUUUGCGUUCUAUCACUCAUUUGCGAACUGGGGUAAA